Molecule: long non-coding RNA, 454 nt
Filed under: Marmota monax (woodchuck)
Lineage: Eukaryota; Metazoa; Chordata; Mammalia; Rodentia; Sciuridae
Source: RNAcentral
AGACUGCACAGGUGCUUGGGCGGGAAAGCACCCACCAUGCGCCAGGUGCUGCUCUUUUCCUCCUCUCCAGAAGAACAAGCACCAUCUCAGCAAAUGCCACCAUCUCAGGUGGGGCUAAAAGUCAUGAAGGAAACAAAACAAGAGGACGUGGCAGAAAAGGUUGGGUGCAGGGCCUGGUUCAGGAAGGUCCCUACAGGUGACAUCUGUAGGGAUGUCACCAGGCACCAGCCAGAGGGAAGAAUUUCCCAGAAUGGAGCAUCAGAUAAAAUCAAUGUGGUUUUCAUGAUACAACAGCAAUUGUCCUGAAAGCAGAGAGGAAGACAAGGGCUAGAUCAUUAAAUCUGCCUUUGGGUAGGUCAGGCCCGUUCAUAGGUGGAGCAGCCUCAGUGAGUCUUUAGGGUUUUUUAGGUUUUCAUCAUGACACAGGGAGGGGGACACUGUCCACUGGGGUUGG